ACUGCUAUCGGGGUGGGACUAAGACAUGCGAGUCGAGCGUCUCUAGCUAUGUUGAGACGCGGCAUACGGCUCAGUAACACGUGGCUAACCUACCCUCAGGACGGGGACAAACCCGGGAAACUGGGGCUAAUAUCCGAUAGGCGAGGAAUCCUGGAAUGGUUCUUCACCCAAAGGACAUUGGAAACAUGCUUUCUCUGUCGCCUGGGGAUGGGGCCGCGACCGAUCAGGUUGUUGGUGAGGUAAUGGCUCACCAAGCCUAUAACCGGUACGGGCCGUGAGAGCGGUAGCCCGGAGAUGGGUACUGAGACAAGGACCCAGGCCCUACGGGGCGCAGCAGUCGCGAAAACUCCGCGAUGCACGAAAGUGUGACGGGGCUACCCCGAGUGCCGUCCGCUGAGGAUGGCUUUUCCUUGGUGUAACUAGCCGGGGGAAUAAGGAGAGGGCAAGACUGGUGUCAGCCGCCGCGGUAAUACCAGCUCUCCGAGUGGUAGGGAUGAUUAUUGGGCUUAAAGCGUCCGUAGCCGGCUUAGCAAGUCUCCUGUUAAAUUCAGCGACCUAAUCGUUGACCCGCGGGAGAUACUACUAGGCUAGGAGGCGGGAGAGGUCGACGGUACUUCUGGGGUAGGGGUGAAAUCCUAUAAUCCCGGGAGGACCACCAGUGGCGAAGGCUGUCGACUAGAACGCGCUCGACGGUGAGGGACGAAAGCUGGGGGAGCGAACCGGAUUAGAUACCCGGGUAGUCCCAGCUGUAAACGAUGCGGGCUAGGUGUUGGGGUGGCUACGUGCCACUUCAGUGCCGCAGGGAAGCCAUUAAGCCCGCCGCCUGGGGAGUACGGCCGCAAGGCUGAAACUUAAAGGAAUUGGCGGGGGAGCACCACAAGGCGUGAAG
Molecule: ribosomal RNA, 889 nt
Filed under: uncultured archaeon
Lineage: Archaea
Description: bacterial SSU rRNA
Rfam family: Archaeal small subunit ribosomal RNA
Source: RNAcentral